Molecule: ribosomal RNA, 381 nt
Filed under: uncultured Spirochaeta sp.
Lineage: Bacteria; Pseudomonadati; Spirochaetota; Spirochaetia; Spirochaetales; Spirochaetaceae
Description: bacterial SSU rRNA
Rfam family: Bacterial small subunit ribosomal RNA
Source: RNAcentral
GAGGACCGGUACCGUUCGGGUACCGAGCGUACACAGGUGCUGCAUGGCUGUCGUCAGCUCGUGUCGUGAGAUGUUGGGUUAAGUCCCGCAACGAGCGCAACCCUACGCUGAGUUACCAGCACGUAAAGGUGGGGACUCUCAGUGGACUGCCGGCGACAAGCCGGAGGAGGGUGGGGACGACGUCAAGUCAUCAUGGCCCUUAUGUCCUGGGCUACACACGUGCUACAAUGGCCGGUACAGAGCGCAGCGAGGCCGCGAGGCGGAGCGAAUCGCUUAAAGCCGGUCCCAGUACGGAUUGGAGUCUGCAACUCGACUGCAUGAAGCCGGAAUCGCUAGUAAUCGUGGAUCAGCCAAGCCGCGGUGAAUACGUUCCCGGGCCUU